This 441-nucleotide ribosomal RNA is filed under the name uncultured bacterium. Its description in RNAcentral is "partial 16S ribosomal RNA". It matches the Rfam family "Bacterial small subunit ribosomal RNA", at positions 338 to 795 of the family's 1533-position model. The record is from RNAcentral.
CCUACGGGAGGCAUCAGUGGGGAAUAUUGCACAAUGGGGGAAACCCUGAUGCAGCGACGCCGCGUGAGUGAAGAAGUAUUUCUGUAUGUAAAGCUCUAUCAGCAGGGAAGAAAAUGACGGUACCUGACUAAGCAGCCCCGUCUAACUCCGUUCCAGCAGCCGCGGUAAUACGUAGGGGGCAAGCGUUAUCCGGAUUUACUGGGUGUAAAGGGGGCGUAGGUGGCAUGGUAAGCCAGAAGUGAAAACCCGGGGCUCAACCCCGCGGUUUGCUUUUGGAACUAUCAGGCUGGAGUGCUGGCGGGGUAAGCGGAAUGCCUAGUGUAGCGGUGAAAUGCGUAGAUAUUAGGAGGAACACCGGUGGCGAAGGCGGCUUACUGGACAGAAACUGACACUGAGGCUCGAAAGCGUGGGGAGCAAACAGGAUUAGAUACCCUAGUAGUC